AUCCAGCUGACGAGUCUCAAAUAGGACGAGAUGCACAUCAAACUGGAU
Molecule: non-coding RNA, 48 nt
Organism: Schistosoma haematobium
Lineage: Eukaryota; Metazoa; Platyhelminthes; Trematoda; Strigeidida; Schistosomatidae
Source: Rfam